ACCGCUGCUAAUACCGCAUGAUGUCGUCACCUGAGAGGGUGAUGAAGAAAGGCGAAAGCCGCAGAAGGAGGGGCCUGCGUCCGAUUAGCUAGUUGGUGUGGUAAGGGCGCACCAAGGCGACGAUCGGUAGCUGGUCUGAGAGGAUGGUCAGCCACACUGGGACUGAGAUACGGCCCAGACUCCUACGGGAGGCAGCAGUUAGGAAAUUUUCACAAUGGGGGAAACCCUGAUGGAGUAACGCCGCGUGAGGGAAGACGGCCUUCGGGUUGUAAACCUCUUUUCUGUGGGAAGAGAAGAAGACGGUACCACAGGAAGAAGCCUCGGCUAACUACGUGCCAGCAGCCGCGGUAAUACGUAGGAGGCGAGCGUUGUCCGGAAUUACUGGGCGUAAAGAGCGCGUAGGCGGCACGGUACGACCUGUGUGAAAGCCCCCGGCUCAACUGGGGAGGGUCACAGGUAACGGCCG
Molecule: ribosomal RNA, 466 nt
Filed under: uncultured bacterium
Lineage: Bacteria
Description: bacterial SSU rRNA
Rfam family: Bacterial small subunit ribosomal RNA
Source: RNAcentral